GUAAGAGAACACUGAUGUGUUGUACGCAGAAUAUGGAGUAAGAAAAAAAAAAAACCCCCAAACGUUUUAUAGGUACCUGAAUGGUUUUCGACGGACGGUACCGACGGUUAACGACGAGAAUAAUUGGAUUGUAAAUAAUAACAUACGAUGUAAACGGGUGACUCGUGAAUUUUGAUAAAAAAAAAAAAAAAAAAGAAGAAGAGAAAAAUAUGCGAUUUUCCGUCUCUACGCGGGUCUGUCUGACCUGUGCAUGUGUACACGUACACCUGGCGAAAAUUUGUUUUCGAUUUUCCGUGUUUUGAAAGUAUAAUCUCCUAGAAGUGUAGAAAUCCGGACAGUAAUAUUGUUCAGAAAACGACGUUAAUAUAGAGUCGGGGCGGGUUGUUUCCUGCCGCACCGUCCCGUCAACCGUACGCACGGCUACCUCACCGUCCUGCCUACACUCGGCACCUGGC
Molecule: non-coding RNA, 455 nt
Organism: Cinara cedri
Lineage: Eukaryota; Metazoa; Arthropoda; Insecta; Hemiptera; Aphididae
Source: the annotation of a GenBank genome assembly